AAUAUUGCACAAUGGGGGAAACCCUGAUGCAGCGACGCUGCGUGAGUGAAGAAGUAUUUCGGUAUGUAAAGUUCUAUCAGCAGGGAAGAAAAUGACGGUACCUGACUAAGAAGCCCCGGCCAACUACGUCCCAUCUGCCGCGGUAACACGUAGGGGGCAAGCGUUAUCCGGAUUUACUGGGUGUAAAGGGAGCGUAGGUGGCGAGUCAAGUCAGAUGUGAAAGCCCGGGGCUCAACCCCGGGAUUGCAUUUGAAACUGGUUUGCUAGAGUGCAGGAGAGGUAAGUGGAAUUCCUAGUGUAGCGGUGAAAUGCGUAGAUAUUAGGAGGAACACCAGUGGCGAAGGCGGCUUACUGGACUGUAACUGACACUGAGGCUCGAAAGCGUGGGGAGCAAACA
RNAcentral lists this ribosomal RNA (397 nucleotides) under uncultured bacterium. Its description in RNAcentral is "partial 16S ribosomal RNA". It matches the Rfam family "Bacterial small subunit ribosomal RNA", at positions 360 to 774 of the family's 1533-position model. The record is from RNAcentral.